Molecule: transfer RNA, 72 nt
Filed under: Ornithorhynchus anatinus (platypus)
Lineage: Eukaryota; Metazoa; Chordata; Mammalia; Monotremata; Ornithorhynchidae
Rfam family: tRNA
About the family: Transfer RNA (tRNA) molecules are approximately 80 nucleotides in length. Their secondary structure includes four short double-helical elements and three loops (D, anti-codon, and T loops).
Source: Rfam by way of RNAcentral
AGCAGCAUGGCUCAGUGGAAAGAGCAUGGGCCUGGGAGUCAGAGGUCAUGGGUUCGAAUCCCGUCUCUGCCA